UGCCAGCCGCCGCGGUAUUACGGAGGGGGUUAGCGUUGUUCGGAAUUACUGGGCGUAAAGCGCGCGUAGGCGGAUUAGUAAGUUAGAGGUGAAAUCCCGGGGCUCAACCCCGGAACUGCCUUUAAUACUGCUAGUCUUGAGUUCGAGAGAGGUGAGUGGAACUCCGAGUGUAGAGGUGAAAUUCGUAGAUAUUCGGAAGAACACCAGUGGCGAAGGCGGCUCACUGGCUCGAUACUGACGCUGAUGUGCGAAAGCGUGGGGAGCAAACAGGAUUAGAUA
RNAcentral lists this ribosomal RNA (279 nucleotides) under uncultured bacterium. RNAcentral describes it as "partial 16S ribosomal RNA". It matches the Rfam family "Bacterial small subunit ribosomal RNA", at positions 506 to 784 of the family's 1533-position model. The record is from RNAcentral.